This is a long non-coding RNA of Eptesicus fuscus (big brown bat), 1103 nucleotides long. RefSeq lists it as uncharacterized. The record is from RefSeq and is a predicted model, not a curated record. NCBI's taxonomy places the organism in Eukaryota, Metazoa, Chordata, Mammalia, Chiroptera, Vespertilionidae. The transcript is spliced from 2 exons.
GCCCCUUUCCAGUUGCGAAUAUAUCCACUCCCACCUUUGAGGCGUGAAAGCUGAAAUGAGCCCAGCCAGGAGGAAGUGCUGCCUGGAGACAAGGCCCACCUUGAAGAGAACAACCACCAAGUUUCCAACUUCUCAAAUUUCAUCUGCUUUCUAAACUUGUAAACUUAGUAGCUGCUUAUCUUAAAGAUACCAAUAACUAGCUCACUGACUUGUAUACAGAUGACCUUACCGGGGUUUCGGUGUUUUCACAGCACAUUUGGACUUGGGGUCUGAGAGGAAUUGUACAUUAUUGGCUAUUGGUAAUUGCUGUGGAUUUUUUAAGAGAAUGUAUGUUUUUCUAUUUCUGCAAGAAAUUCCAAAAAACCUGCUAGAAGGUAACCUAAAACCAACAAACAAAAAGAAAUUCCAAACUAUAGAAAAAGAAGAAAGGAAAAGGAUGACUUAGUUCUGUUAGCCAAGUGACAGGUGCUGAUGCGUUGGCGGUCUCUUAAGCCUUCUCUUGAAACCUCUUUAAGCACACCCGAGGGUGCACACAUCUUUUCUAUAAAACUGGUUUUGAUCCUGAUCCCUUAAUUCCUAUGGUUAACAUUUCUUUAUGGCAUUCAUCUUCAAAAUAGGCUAUUUCAUGGUGAUAGUUUAUGCAGCCUUUCACUUCUGUUGAACACAGUUUGUUUCUGUGUACGAUGAUGUAAUGUACAUCCAUGUUCAUAUUUUUCUUGCAUCUUUCCUUUUUUUCUAUAUUUCUAAAAGUAGAGCAACUGGUGGAAAGCCAAAUUGUUUUCUAACAGGAUUUGACCAAUUUGCCCUCUUAAUAGUGGUUUAUGUGCUUAAGCCACUCAUUGUCAACUUUGAGUACACAAAUUGUUUUUCUAAGUAGAAAGGUUAAAAACACUAGUUUCAAUGUGAAUUUAUUUGUAAUAGGGCUUAUAAUAUUUUUUCAGAUUUUCAUUUGUCUCUUAAUUUAGUUCAGUUAUCUUAAAACCGAUACUGUUCAUUAAACUGAGCUUUUGUAAUGUUCUUAAAAAAUCUCAGCACCAUCUAAAUCUCCAUGAGCAUUUUAGCUUUCUUGUGUCAUUUCUAACAAUAAAGGCACCUGGAACUUC